UGAACCUAGGAGAGAAUUCUAAUACCUGUGCACAAAGAUGCAAAUACAAGGAAAGCGACCUUUGAAAACCCUUGGUUAGCAUUGACAAAAAAGGAGGCGCUGUCCGCUGAAGAAAAGGUGAUCAUCACUAAUUUUUAGCUCACGACUUCUUCGUCGGAAUGACAUAUGGAAGUCAUUGCAAAAGUAGAUUGCAAAAACCAUCUAAAAAUGUUUUUGCACCUAGGAAUUUUCAGUGGGCCCAUUUUUGAGAGUUAUCUAUUGCCUUUACCACUUAAGCAGCAUAGGUUCCCAAUCUUUGAUUGGCUGAGCGACCAAAAUUCUGCAUACCCCAUAAGCCAAUCAGAAUUCGAGAAUAUGACAACAAACGUGCCUCGCAGCUAGAUUUAGGCCUAUUUUGGACGUUUUUACCACUACCUACAAAAAACAUUGUGUUAAACUUUCAUUUUCCUUACAUUUUCUUUUAUCCUUUCGAAUCUUUUUCAGACAACCAGAGAUUUUUUUCACCCAGAAAAGAUAAUUUUUCGAAAAUGAUGUAUAUAUCAUUUUCCCGCCCUUUUCAUCCUUGACGAAUUGCGUCAGCUUUUACAAGGCCGUAGCAGUGAACAUCAGUGGACAUGAGCUUCUCGUCGAUCUUCAAGCAUUUAAAAUGAAUAUUCAAAGUACCUGAGUGCAAAAGAAAUCGUACAAUUGUGGUUAUUUUAAGAGAAAGGUAGAUUCCAUUUUCUCUCAGUUUAAUUUAGCAAUUUAUUUCGUCGUUAACACAAACAUCAAUGCCGACAAGAAAAGAUUUUAACAUUGGGUUGUGAAAGUAAGUUCAUAUUUUUUAAUUACGUUGAUAAAACAACUAAAUUCAUCAAAGAUUCAAUUUUUAAAAGAAAAUUAAGGUUAUCUUUCAGCACAUUUUACACUAUUAUUUUUUGUGGGUAGUGGUAAAAACGUCUAAAUAGGCCUAAAUCUAGCUGCAAGACACGUUUGUUGUCAAAUUCUUGAAUUCUGAUUGGCUAAUGGGGUAUGCAGAAUUUUGGUUGCUCAGCCAAUCAAAGAUUCGGAACCUAUGAUCACUUAAGCUGGAGUGCUCAAACAAUUUGGUAACUGAGCCUCGGAAAACACGAAGACAAUAUCUGAACCAUAGAGCUAAAUUCUGAUCGAACAAAAUUUUAUUAGAGUUGAUUUCACGAAGGAAGUUGUAGAAUUUGAUGUCGCUAGAAGUUCCUAUUUUAGCUUAUUUGUAUUAUUCUCAUUUGGAUGUAAAUUGUCAUGCUUCAGUUUUGUAUUUAAGUCCUUUUGUGCUUCUUUGAUACCAUUGGGAAUAAUAGAGAAGAAAUAGUUCUGUAGUUUGGGCUUCUGCACGAAAGUGUGGGUCCCUUGACUCAGAUGGGUGUAUUUAGUUGCUUUGGGUCUGGGUUAUCGUGCUUAUAUUGUUAUGCUGUUUCCACGCUGUUCUCUUCUCGCCAGUGUGUUUUGGCUCAGGCUUGCUGAUGGAAAGGUGACUGACGAAGUAUGAGUUCCUUUACUGGCUACCAGGUGAAAUUGUAGAGAAAACACGAAAAAUCAAUGAGGAAACCUGGCCUGUGUUGAAGGGCUGCUAUUCUUGCAAAUAAUUGGUGUGCAUCAAAUUGACAAAGCUGGCAGACUCCAUGCUCUGAGCUAAAUAAACGCUCCCGUACGAUCCGGCUUUUGCUGGUGCGAAACUGCAUUAAAAAGUCCCAGAUGAGAG
This is a long non-coding RNA of Rhopilema esculentum, 1717 nucleotides long. RefSeq lists it as uncharacterized. The record is from RefSeq and is a predicted model, not a curated record. NCBI's taxonomy places the organism in Eukaryota, Metazoa, Cnidaria, Scyphozoa, Rhizostomeae, Rhizostomatidae.